This 245-nucleotide ribosomal RNA is filed under the name uncultured bacterium. RNAcentral describes it as "partial 16S ribosomal RNA". It matches the Rfam family "Bacterial small subunit ribosomal RNA", at positions 524 to 768 of the family's 1533-position model. The record is from RNAcentral.
UACGGAGGGUGCAAGCGUUGUCCGGAUUUAUUGGGUUUAAAGGGUGCGUAGGCGGCCUAUUAAGUCAGUGGUGAAAUCCUGCAGCUUAACUGUAGAACAGCCAUUGAUACUGAUGGGCUUGAGUUCAGACGAGGUAGGCGGAAUUUAUGGUGUAGCGGUGAAAUGCAUAGAUACCAUAAAGAACACCGAUUGCGAAGGCAGCUUACUAGACUGACACUGACGCUGAGGCACGAAAGCGUGGGGAU